This 1348-nucleotide ribosomal RNA is filed under the name Klebsiella pneumoniae. RNAcentral describes it as "bacterial SSU rRNA". It matches the Rfam family "Bacterial small subunit ribosomal RNA", at positions 75 to 1417 of the family's 1533-position model. The record is from RNAcentral. Lineage: Bacteria; Pseudomonadati; Pseudomonadota; Gammaproteobacteria; Enterobacterales; Enterobacteriaceae.
AGAGCUUGCUCUCGGGUGACGAGCGGCGGACGGGUGAGUAAUGUCUGGGAAACUGCCUGAUGGAGGGGGAUAACUACUGGAAACGGUAGCUAAUACCGCAUAAUGUCGCAAGACCAAAGUGGGGGACCUUCGGGCCUCAUGCCAUCAGAUGUGCCCAGAUGGGAUUAGCUAGUAGGUGGGGUAACGGCUCACCUAGGCGACGAUCCCUAGCUGGUCUGAGAGGAUGACCAGCCACACUGGAACUGAGACACGGUCCAGACUCCUACGGGAGGCAGCAGUGGGGAAUAUUGCACAAUGGGCGCAAGCCUGAUGCAGCCAUGCCGCGUGUGUGAAGAAGGCCUUCGGGUUGUAAAGCACUUUCAGCGGGGAGGAAGGCGUUAAGGUUAAUAACCUUGGCGAUUGACGUUACCCGCAGAAGAAGCACCGGCUAACUCCGUGCCAGCAGCCGCGGUAAUACGGAGGGUGCAAGCGUUAAUCGGAAUUACUGGGCGUAAAGCGCACGCAGGCGGUCUGUCAAGUCGGAUGUGAAAUCCCCGGGCUCAACCUGGGAACUGCAUUCGAAACUGGCAGGCUAGAGUCUUGUAGAGGGGGGUAGAAUUCCAGGUGUAGCGGUGAAAUGCGUAGAGAUCUGGAGGAAUACCGGUGGCGAAGGCGGCCCCCUGGACAAAGACUGACGCUCAGGUGCGAAAGCGUGGGGGAGCAAACAGGAUUAGAUACCCUGGUAGUCCACGCCGUAAACGAUGUCGAUUUGGAGGUUGUGCCCUUGAGGCGUGGCUUCCGGAGCUAACGCGUUAAAUCGACCGCCUGGGGAGUACGGCCGCAAGGUUAAAACUCAAAUGAAUUGACGGGGGCCCGCACAAGCGGUGGAGCAUGUGGUUUAAUUCGAUGCAACGCGAAGAACCUUACCUGGUCUUGACAUCCACAGAACUUUCCAGAGAUGGUUUGGUGCCUUCGGGAACUGUGAGACAGGUGCUGCAUGGCUGUCGUCAGCUCGUGUUGUGAAAUGUUGGGUUAAGUCCCGCAACGAGCGCAACCCUUAUCCUUUGUUGCCAGCGGUUAGGCCGGGAACUCAAAGGAGACUGCCAGUGAUAAACUGGAGGAAGGUGGGGAUGACGUCAAGUCAUCAUGGCCCUUACGACCAGGGCUACACACGUGCUACAAUGGCAUAUACAAAGAGAAGCGACCUCGCGAGAGCAAGCGGACCUCAUAAAGUAUGUCGUAGUCCGGAUUGGAGUCUGCAACUCGACUCCAUGAAGUCGGAAUCGCUAGUAAUCGUAGAUCAGAAUGCUACGGUGAAUACGUUCCCGGGCCUUGUACACACCGCCCGUCACACCAUGGGAGUGGGUUG